Boleophthalmus pectinirostris (great blue-spotted mudskipper) is the source of this 289-nucleotide long non-coding RNA. RefSeq lists it as uncharacterized. NCBI's taxonomy places the organism in Eukaryota, Metazoa, Chordata, Actinopteri, Gobiiformes, Gobiidae. The transcript has 3 exons. The record is from RefSeq and is a predicted model, not a curated record.
UGACAAGUUGGGAGUGGAUUGCUCCGUUGUAUCAUUCUACUUUGAGACUGCUCCUGACCUACGUAUCUCCAGAUGUCAAGUGACCAUGGUUAAGCCAACGCUGGACAAGAUCUCAUCCCCAGCAGACGACAUGGACACCACACGACCCUGCUCCACUGAAAGGUGACCUCCAGACAUACUCUCCACAACAUUUGCUUUUCGCUUGAGAGGUCACCCCAGCAAAACAUCAUCCCCUAAUCUUGCAGUAAUUUGAUUCAGCACAUUUUGUAACAUCAGAUGCCCUCCCAGA